GUUCUCUGUUGUGUUUCUUCUCUCUAUAAGAGCAGGUUUCCUGCACGAGAGCCUCAUUGAUUCCUCGCGUCUCCCUUUGUUUCCUGUUUGGAUUUCUCGGGCUGUUUGUUUCCCCUCUGAGCCUGAGCGAACUCACAGGUUCCCGAAUGUGCCGCUGUCGUCACACGCCUGCUGCAUUGCUCACAUUCCUCGCAUACCUCCCCGGCUGUUUGGGAGGCAGGAAUGCGGCGGCGCGGCGCGGACGCCAACAAAGCUCGAAAAAUCCGUUUAUGGAAGAGCUUUGAUGAGCGGAGACUGUGGAUCCGUGAGACGCCGCGAGACAGGAGGAAAGUCUGCCGGGUUGGGGGGAGAGAAGGAGCGCUUGAUUCGCGAGCGGUCCCGGGUGGGGGGAAACACCUCCCCGGGCUGAAUCACUGUCUGUAAAUGUGGUGUGGGAGUCAGACGGCACGGAUCCAGUGUGCAGAGUCUGUGUGGUCCCCCUUUCUGCAGGGACGGAUUAAAGUCUGCUCUCCGGGUUUACCACACGUCUGGAGCCAGAAAGGCCUCAUUUAGGGCCCCAGACGGGCGGAGUCGGCGUAGAGCGGAGGUGGGGCAGACGACCACAGCGCCGUCUGAUACGGUGACAGUCGCCGGCUUUAAUGAAGUGGUAUUUUUAGAAGAAGUGAGGCGGGAGGAUUUGGAUAUUCCUCCGGAUUGCGAACGCUCAGAGUCGAGAGAAGCACCUCAGAGGAGCCGCGUGGAAACGAUCGGACCUGAGGUGAGGAGACGAAGGCCCUGAGGUGAGGAGACGAAGGGACCUGAGGUGAGGAGACGAAGGACCUGAGGUGAGGAGACGAAGGCCCUGAGGUGAGGAGACGAAGGACCUGAGGUGAGGAGACGAAGGACCUGAGGUGAGGAGACGAAGGGACCUGAGGUGAGGAGACGAAGGCCCGGAGGUGAGGAGACGAAGGACCUGAGGUGAGGAGACGAAGGCCCUGAGGUGAGGAGACGAAGGACCUGAGGUGAGGAGACGAAGGCCCUGAGGUGAGGAGACGAAGGGACCUGAGGUGAGGAGACGAAGGCCAACGAGAGCGUCCUGUUUGAUCUCUUCUGCAGGACUCGUCAUGUGAUCAGCAGGGACCAAUCGCACCUGCUCACCGGCAGCAAGCUCCUCCGCUCGCCUCCUCGGGACGGAAAUCAAGCAUCAAACAUCUUAAUUAAAGUCAUUCAUGAAAAUCGGUCGUUUAUUCCUCUGUUAUGAAAUGUGUUUCUCAGUCUAUAAUUAUUAGGGUUGAUCAGCACCUAAUAACCAAAAUAAAAGAACAUUUAGUUUAGAACAGAAACACACCUGACAGAGAGAUGUUACACGUUUAAUUAAAAUAAUGAAUUUAUUAUUCAUUAAAGGAUGCAUAAGAAUAAAAAGUGCCCGCUGACAUUUCCCCCCCUUCUCUCCUCGUUAAAGUCAACGUGUGAAAGCCGGACUUUUGCUGUGAUGAGUUUAUAGUUUCAUAACGAGUUUCUAAGAAAGAAAAAUGUUAAUAGAAGCUUUUAAUACGUCCCCUAAAUAUGGUUUUAAUAUGUUUGCAUGAGCCUGCCUGACGCUCCGCCCCCCCUGUGCUGCACCCAGAGCUCAUUUCUGUGUUUUACUUUAUCAACUUAUCAAACAGACCGACAGCCGCUUCCUGCAGACACGUUGGAAAUAAACAGUUUGAUGUCAUCAUGAAAUAAACAGUUUGAUGUCAUCAUGAAAUAAACAGUUUGAUGUCAUCAUGAAAUAAACAGUUUGAUGUCAUCAUGAAAUAAACAGUUUGAUGUCAUCAUGAAAUAAACAGUUUGCUGUCUUCAUGACAUGAAGAGUUUGCUGUCUUCAUGAGAUGAAGAGUUUGAUGAAGAGUUUGCUGUCUUCAUGAGAUGAAGAGUUUGAUGAAGAGUUUGCUGUCUUCAUGAGAGGAAGAGGCAUCAGGAUGAAACUGAAACGUUUUCUUCUUUCACAACGUGUUGAAAAUAAAGACGCAACGAGUCUCGUCUCUGAACUUCUCAUGCAAAUCCGCUGCAGCUUUAAAGAAGUCUUUACUGACAUUAAUCACAUGAUUUCCAUGACAUUUGCAUGUCAUUUGCAUGGACAGAGACAUUUCCCAAAGCUGCUCAUUGUCUUCAUGGACUCCGGACCUUCGUCCUUUAACUGCCGGGGUCGGAGGCUGUUAAACCGAACAGAAGAGGCCGAGAGCUUUGUAACCACCUGUGGUUCCACAAAGGCUCCGGUCUGAAAUGCUCACACCGGGUCAGUUUGGGAGGAAACGCCGCUUUACCCAUGAGCCUCGGCUGCUGCUGCUGCGGAGCAGAAGAAGAAGAAGAAGAAAUGAGGCAGUGGAGAGAUUUUAACCCAUGGAUGUUUAUCAGCAGAAUGAGAUGUUCUGUGAGGAGCUUUGUUAGUGAAAUGCAAUAAAAUGUAAUGUGUCAUAAGGCCGAUAUUUUCAAGUUACACUUGAAGAGUUUGACUUUAAAUAUGAAUCAUAGAAUUAUGUAUUUUUAUUUGUGAAAACAUGCAUCAUUCUGUAAAUUAUUUUAUGACUUCAAAGGAACACGUUUCUCUAUCAAGUGAAAAUAAUAUUGAUUUUAUUUGUUAUGAGAUUAAUUUGGAGGUUGAGAUGAUUUCAGAGGAAACACACACACACACAUACACACACACACACACACACACACACACAUAUUUCUAACAAACAUCCAGCAUUUUGUGUGAUGAAACGUUUUCUAGCUCUCUAUAAAUCUGCUGUGUGACUCAAUCUGUCCCAAUAAAUCUUCAAUAACAUCGUUAUUCAUUCUGUAAUUUGCAACUCGUUCUAAACUGUGUAAAUUUGCCCAAAC
This is a long non-coding RNA of Gasterosteus aculeatus aculeatus (three-spined stickleback), 2844 nucleotides long. Lineage: Eukaryota; Metazoa; Chordata; Actinopteri; Perciformes; Gasterosteidae. The record is from Ensembl.